Danio rerio (zebrafish) is the source of this 120-nucleotide ribosomal RNA. NCBI's taxonomy places the organism in Eukaryota, Metazoa, Chordata, Actinopteri, Cypriniformes, Danionidae. The record is from Ensembl.
UUGUGCGGAUAAUGUUUUUCUCUGCAACUCUCACAUGGUCGCCCACUGAAGCUAAGCAGGGCUGCGCCCGGUCAGUACCUGGAUGGGAGACCACAUAGGAAAGCUAGGUUGCUGCCGGAA